AUACGGAGGGUGCAAGCGUUAAUCGGAAUUACUGGGCGUAAAGCGUACGUAGGCGGUUUGUUAAGUUAGAUGUGAAAGCCCCGGGCUUAACCUGGGAACUGCAUUUAAAACUGGCAUACUAGAGUUGGGUAGAGGGAAGUGGAAUUUCAGGUGUAGCGGUGAAAUGCGUAGAGAUCUGAAGGAACACCAGUGGCGAAGGCGACUUCCUGGACUCAAUCUGACGCUGAGGUACGAAAGCGUGGGUAGCAAACGGGAUUAGAUACCCUAGUAGUCC
RNAcentral lists this ribosomal RNA (274 nucleotides) under uncultured bacterium. RNAcentral's name for it is "partial 16S ribosomal RNA". It matches the Rfam family "Bacterial small subunit ribosomal RNA", at positions 523 to 796 of the family's 1533-position model. The record is from RNAcentral.